RNAcentral lists this ribosomal RNA (301 nucleotides) under uncultured bacterium. Its description in RNAcentral is "partial 16S ribosomal RNA". It matches the Rfam family "Bacterial small subunit ribosomal RNA", at positions 509 to 807 of the family's 1533-position model. The record is from RNAcentral.
CAGCCGCCGCGGUAACACGUAGGUGGCAAGCGUUGUCCGGAUUUACUGGGCGUAAAGCGAACGCAGGCGGUUUGACAAGUCUUAUGUGAAAUCUUCGGGCUCAACCCAUAGCCUGCACGAGAAACUACCGGGCUUGAGUAAUGGAGAGGUGAGUGGAAUUUCCGGUGUAGCGGUGAAAUGCGUAGAUAUCGGAAGGAACACCUGUGGCGAAAGCGGCUCACUGGACAUUAACUGACGCUGAUGCACGAAAGCUAGGGGAGCAAACAGGAUUAGAGACCCCCGUAGUCCCUGUCUCUUAUAC